RNAcentral lists this long non-coding RNA (237 nucleotides) under Sinocyclocheilus anshuiensis. RNAcentral's name for it is "lncRNA (ENSSANG00000045656.1)". Lineage: Eukaryota; Metazoa; Chordata; Actinopteri; Cypriniformes; Cyprinidae. The record is from RNAcentral.
UCAGUUCAGCUAGAGAAAGAGAGGGAGUGAGUGAGGGAAAGAAAGAAAAAGAAAGAAAGAGUGAGUGGAAUAAUGGUGAGCGACGAGGGGAAUUUCAGAGCUUGGAAACUAUUUUCUUCCACCGAAACAGAGAAAAGCUCACGGGCAUGCGGAGGACCGCAGCACCCAGUCAGUCACUGCAGCCAGCUCGUGUCCGAUCGCAGUAAAUGUGGAAAGGAUGCUGAAUUAAAGACGACG